This 253-nucleotide ribosomal RNA is filed under the name uncultured bacterium. RNAcentral's name for it is "partial 16S ribosomal RNA". It matches the Rfam family "Bacterial small subunit ribosomal RNA", at positions 524 to 776 of the family's 1533-position model. The record is from RNAcentral.
UACGUAGGGGGCAAGCGUUGUCCGGAAUCAUUGGGCGUAAAGAGCGCGUAGGCGGUCCGGUAAGUCCGCUCUGAAAGUCCGGGGCUCAACCCCGGGAGGCGGGCGGAUACUGUCGGGCUAGAGUCCGGAAGAGGCGAGUGGAAUUCCUGGUGUAGCGGUGAAAUGCGCAGAUAUCAGGAGGAACACCAAUGGCGAAGGCAGCUCGCUGGGGAGUACCUGACGCUCAGGUGCGAAAGCCAGGGGAGCGAACGGG